Molecule: long non-coding RNA, 334 nt
Filed under: Elaeis guineensis (African oil palm)
Lineage: Eukaryota; Viridiplantae; Streptophyta; Magnoliopsida; Arecales; Arecaceae
Description: long non-coding RNA (EGUI_LNC051385)
Source: RNAcentral
CUUCAGUCUUGCUCACCACUGCUAUAAUCUGUGUCUUUGUACUAUCUUGCUCUGAUACCACUUGUUGGUGGAUGUCUUGCCAGGACAUCACUUUUCAAGAUCUUUUCGAUACUGUGUGAUAUAGCAGAAAGAAAGAAAAAAUAAACAGAAAACAAUCAAAUACGUAGAUCAGCCAAAAAAGUACUCGCCUCCAUGGGGCAUGUAAACUUCACUAUGAGAAAAGAAAUAUUACAAGAGAAGAUCACACCCUCAACCCUCAUACACCCAAUUUCUCCCUCACAAGAAGUUUUCUCUCACAAAAGCUCUCUCUAGAAAGACCACCUUGAACCCCUGA